Molecule: microRNA precursor, 78 nt
Filed under: Schistosoma mattheei
Lineage: Eukaryota; Metazoa; Platyhelminthes; Trematoda; Strigeidida; Schistosomatidae
Description: mir-3492 microRNA precursor family
Rfam family: mir-3492 microRNA precursor family
Source: Rfam by way of RNAcentral
AGUCAUCCGAAUCCGUGCUGAGAUUAUGUCAGACACCAACCCAUUAGGGCUGAUCAGACUUUUAAGAUAAGUGAAGUU